RNAcentral lists this ribosomal RNA (207 nucleotides) under uncultured bacterium. RNAcentral describes it as "partial 16S ribosomal RNA". It matches the Rfam family "Bacterial small subunit ribosomal RNA", at positions 568 to 774 of the family's 1533-position model. The record is from RNAcentral.
AGCGCAGGCGGUACGGCAAGUCUGAUGUGAAAUCCCGGGGCUCAACCCCGGUACUGCAUUGGAAACUGUCGGACUAGAGUGUCGGAGGGGUAAGUGGAAUUCCUAGUGUAGCGGUGAAAUGCGUAGAUAUUAGGAGGAACACCAGUGGCGAAGGCGGCUUACUGGACGAUUACUGACGCUGAGGCUCGAAAGCGUGGGGAGCAAACA